CCGUCGACUUUAAAAAUCGUGAG
This 23-nucleotide transfer RNA is filed under the name Mesembryanthemum amplectens. Its description in RNAcentral is "partial transfer RNA-Leu". Lineage: Eukaryota; Viridiplantae; Streptophyta; Magnoliopsida; Caryophyllales; Aizoaceae. RNAcentral also lists the same sequence under 1 other name. The record is from RNAcentral.